GAUCAAACAAAUAACUAAAUACGAUGGGUGUUAAAAAUUUCAUGUUAUGGGCAUUCCUGUGCACCACCACGGUAAACGCUGUCAGAUUUGACAUCACUAAUAGAGAGGGUGGUCCUGUAUGGGUUGGUAUUCAAGGAAACCCUGGUCAUGAACAUUUACGCAAUGGGGGAUUCGUCUUAAAUCAAGGACAAACGACUUCCGUAAAUGCUCCUGACAACUGGGCAGGGCGAUUUUGGCCUAGGACAUGGUGUGACCCUAAUUCAAAGCAUUGCAUGACCGGUGACUGUGGAAAUAGAGUAGAAUGUGCAGGAGCAGGAGGUGUACCUCCUGCUACCCUAUUGGAAAUUAAAUUGAAAGGAGACGCUGGGCUAGAUUACUACGAUAUCUCACUUGUUGAUGGUUUUAACAUCAGAGCCUUCAUUGAACCGGUAGGUGGACGUGGAGAUGGUGGCCGAUAUAACUGCAAGAGAGCUGGUUGCUUAGCGGAUGUUAACAGCCAAUGUCCCAACGAUUUACGAAUAAAUCACCAAGGACAAACAAUUGCCUGUCAGUCAGCCUGUAACAGAUUUAACAACGACCACUACUGUUGCAGAGGUCAGUACAACUCACCUAGUGCAUGCGAUAGCAGAAGAUGGCCCGUCAACUAUCCAGGUUAUUCCAAAGGAAAAUGUCCCGCUGCCUACAGCUACGCGCAGCGCCGGUUUAUACAUAAAGCGGGACAAGCGGCCGCUUGGGGGCCCGGGUCCCGAAGGGGCCCGUAUUUUGGUCAUAAAGAAAAUAUAAAUAUGAAAAUGAAGCAGAAGUCAAUAAAUAAAUGGCCUCUUAAAAAAGUCCGUGAAUUGUAGAACGAAUUGGCCAUUUUAAGAGAAGCAGGAGUACUUCCAAAAAUGGAAUCCAGAGCCGAAACAGAUAGUUGCGAUGAUGAAUUUAGUACUUAAGGAGAAGAUCAAAUAUCUGAAGUAGCUCUAAAUUCCAAAAUUUGGCUCGAACAUCAUUCCGAACCGUUUGAGGACGUUCUCAAGCAUUGGAUCGAAACCAAUAGUUUCAAACGUACUCAGUCGGCCACUUCGGCCUUUCAGACUGUGUCCAGUAUUUUAAACGAAUGACUUAUUUUGAAGUAUCAUUUUGGAUAUAUCCUAAUUGAAAAAGAUUUUGAGAUAGAAUAUCCGAAUAUCCACAAAAAGAAAAUAAUCUUUUUACGAAAUUCUGUGCUCUGUUUGACGCAGCAUUGGAGCUGAAGAAAAAGACUUGUGUCAACACGGACAAUGAGUUUUUAGUUGACCUGUUACAAGGCGAAUUAUCACAAGAUUCACGAACCCUUAUUCAGACUUAUCUAUUAUGUUCGUUCAUAUGUAAUAAGUCAAUGAAGUUAAAAAAGUGGGAAACCCAGUGUUGCUGAAUCAAGAGAAUCGAUUAUACUUCAAGUCAAGUGCCCUACAGCCAGCAUAUUGAACAAAUUUUUACAAUAAUUAAAUCUUAAUUCUGCGUAUAAAAAAUAUUGUUUUUACGCAAAUAAAAAAUAAUUUUAGUUACAAAACUAGUAUGCUUCUCGUAAUUAAAGUUUACUGUUACAGAUAAAAUAUAUAUGUUUUAAAAAUCUUAUUAAAAUUAGGAAUAAUAUAUACCUUUCUAUUCUAAAUUAUAAUUUACUUACCACAAAUUAAAUCAAGAUAUUCUUGUUGACAAUCAUUAAUUAUAGAUAUUAUAAU
This 1709-nucleotide unclassified non-coding RNA is filed under the name Sitophilus oryzae (rice weevil). RNAcentral describes it as "pathogenesis-related protein 5-like, transcript variant X2". Lineage: Eukaryota; Metazoa; Arthropoda; Insecta; Coleoptera; Curculionidae. The record is from RNAcentral.